Molecule: transfer RNA, 95 nt
Filed under: Streptomyces spororaveus
Lineage: Bacteria; Bacillati; Actinomycetota; Actinomycetes; Kitasatosporales; Streptomycetaceae
Description: tRNA-Asp
Source: RNAcentral
GGCCGACCGGCUGGCCGGCGAGAUCGUGGUCGUCGACCGCGGCCGGGUCGCCGCCACCGGCACGCCGGCCGGGUUGAAGGCCCGGAUCGGCGCCC